ACGGGUGAGUAACGCGUGGGUAACCUACCCUGUACACACGGAUAACAUACCGAAAGGUAUGCUAAUACGGGAUAAUAUAUUUGAGAGGCAUCUCUUAAAUAUCAAAGGUGAGCCAGUACAGGAUGGACCCGCGUCUGAUUAGCUAGUUGGUAAGGUAACGGCUUACCAAGGCAACGAUCAGUAGCCGACCUGAGAGGGUGAUCGGCCACAUUGGAACUGAGACACGGUCCAAACUCCUACGGGAGGCAGCAGUGGGGAAUAUUGCACAAUGGGCGAAAGCCUGAUGCAGCAACGCCGCGUGGGUGAUGAAGGCCUUCGGGUCGUAAAACUCUGUCCUCAAGGAAGAUAAUGACGGUACUUGAGGAGGAAGCCCCGGCUAACUACGUGCCAGCAGCCGCGGUAAUACGUAGGGGGCUAGCGUUAUCCGGAUUUACUGGGCGUAAAGGGUGCGUAGGCGGUCUUUCAAGUCAGGAGUGAAAGGCUACGGCUCAACCGUAGUAAGCUCUUGAAACUGGGAGACUUGAGUGCAGGAGAGGAGAGUGGAAUUCCUAGUGUAGCGGUGAAAUGCGUAGAUAUUAGGAGGAACACCAGUUGCGAAGGCGGCUCUCUGGACUGUAACUGACGCUGAGGCACGAAAGCGUGGGGAGCAAACAGGAUUAGAUACCCUGGUAGUCCACGCUGUAAA
This 685-nucleotide ribosomal RNA is filed under the name uncultured bacterium. Its description in RNAcentral is "bacterial SSU rRNA". It matches the Rfam family "Bacterial small subunit ribosomal RNA", at positions 102 to 806 of the family's 1533-position model. The record is from RNAcentral.